This is a long non-coding RNA of Taeniopygia guttata (zebra finch), 6221 nucleotides long. Lineage: Eukaryota; Metazoa; Chordata; Aves; Passeriformes; Estrildidae. The record is from Ensembl.
CAAUAGAUGCUACACUCUUGUGGCGUGGUAUGAAAGUCACAGAAAGGGUUAUGAUUAGACCUGCCCAAGCUUUUGGGCCAUGUAAUACCCAGCAGGGCAGCAGUGUCAGGUUUACUCAGAUGAUAGCAAAGCUGAAUGAAGAGGGAGACUGAAUGACUCAGAAUUAAAAGCCAUAUUGGCACCUGUGCUGGCAAUAUUGGGUAUUGCAAUUCCUGGCCCUUUCUCUCUGCUGGACUAUGUUACUCAUCUUGUGUUCCCUCUUGGUUCCUAUCUGCCUGUUGUUGCGUAUGCUUUAAAUAGAAUUAAAUAAGUCACUUUAUUGCACUACUGUUAACCCAAUAUGUUGAUAGCUAGUGUUUUCCAGAAAUCAUCUCUUUCUUUGGACAGAGCAUGUCUUACUAGACACCUUUCAGAGGGCUCAGCCUCUUCUGCACAGAUCUUCAUCCCAGAAUUUUGGGGAUAUAAAUCUGCAGUUAUGUGCAUCUUACUAAUGACAUUUCUCCAUUGAGAAAAAGUUGUAUUUGCCUGAGUUCAAGCUUUUUAUUAGUCUGACCUUAACUCCCCUAUUUCCAGUACCAAGUGCAACUUUCCUCUGAAAAGCCAAAGGAAACAUUUCCAUGGAGCAUAUGGAGAAAAUCCUGCAUAGAUCUCCUUUAGCUUGUUUGCCUCUGAAGUGCACACAAGGAAACAUGUCAGGAAUUAAGUCGAAACAGGUAAUGUACAGUGGAAACCUCCUCUCAUAAAUUAGCUUUUAUUCCUCCUAUCUCAAAAGAAGGAAAGCCAUGUGUGAUUGGUUUUACCACAUCCACUGUUGUCUUCUCAGUUUUUAGGAUGUUGUGAGGAGUACAGAAAGCAAACACUCAGGCAGCACAAAGGUCAGGGUGUCAGUUUGGAUAGGAGGGAGGAAUUGGACUGUGUUGGCAGUAUUUUGGGGUUUUUUUGGAGAAAAUACAACUUUCAGUCCAGAAAGCAGGUUUCUCUGUAGCUAAGUUGAGCCCUUGUUCCUGAAGUAGAAUACUGAAGACGUAAGUGAAGGUUGGUUUCUUCAUUCAUUUAUUAAAUAAGCAAUAAAUAACACUUUAUCUAUUUCACAACGUGACCAGUCCCAUUUCCACACACUUCUGAUGUGAUCUGUGUUAACAGAACACGAGCUUCCAGACAAGCAAGCACAGAGUGUCUGCCUUGCUGGAUUCCUUCUUUAGCCUGUGAAACAGCAUAUGUUUGUUUUGGCUGUCUGAAUGUGGUAUUUUUUGCUCACUGGAAAAGCUGACAGUGUUUCAGUCUCUGCACUAUUUUUUCUUGUUUUGUGUUUAACUUUUCACCUUCCACUUUCUUUCAUAGACUAGCAGAAAUCACCUAGAAAUCAUCAGGAAAAGGUGGUAUAUUCCUGGAGGGGGAUGAGAGGCUGGGGUGUCCAUUGCUUUUUCCUGAGUUUACCCGUAGAUUUAUUCCCAUCAGCCUGUAGAAGUUGGCUAGAUUUUUAUGUUCUUUGGUUUUCUCACUUCCUGUGUUUUGCAGAGCAUAACCCAAGUGCCUCCUGCACUAGACUCCCUUUUGAACUGAAUUUAACAUAGAUAUGGAGUAGACAACAACAUUCUGUUCUAAACAGAAGUCGAGUGACGUCAAUUAAGGAGUUUAUUGCCACUAUACCUUGUUAAGCCUUUGUGGCAAGCAAGAUAGAGUUUGUGUCCUGCAGAAUGGAUUGGUCUUAUCCACCUAAAACAAUCUCCUGCACUAUGUCAGCAAUGCUGUGGUCAACACAAGUGAAGUUAAAAAAAGCUGAAUACACUGAACUGUGUAAAUAAAGUACCCUUCCAAUUGGGAAUGCAGUCCUCCAUAUGAAAAAGUGUGGCAGAAUCUUAGAUUUAUUAAGGAAUAGAAGAAAGCUGAUUAAAGAAUGGUCCCCAAUCUGAAGUUAUGAACUGAUUUUCUAAAACAGAGUCCCUGCUUGAGUAACUGAAUGAACUGUCUGGAUUUGGAAAUAAGAGAAAGUGCUGCAUGUAUAAUUUUAAAAUAAACAGAGCCAAGGCCUGGAGGUGUGAAAGCAGCACUGGGAAACAACUUAAACAUCAAAGAAGGAUUUUUUGGAUGUUUAACUGUUUGAAAACUGGACUCGCAUAUUUUAUUUUAGCAGGAAAAAGGCCCUGUUAAAUUAUUUCAUAGACUGCCUUUGAUCAAAGUUUUGAAAUGGUGUCAAAAUCAUUGAUCAUUGAUCCCCGUUGGGAUUGGGGAGGUAAUGUUUCUUUUUAAAUAAAAAUUUAUCUUUUUGACCUACAGAAGGUUUAUUCCUUUUAGCAUCAUACUUGAAGUUUGAUCACCUUGUUAUUCCAAGAAUGAGAAAGUGCUGAAGCCAGUGUAAAUGAUGUAACAACACAGCCCACAAGAGGCCAGUAUGUAUUUAAGUUUUGAGCUAUUCAAAUCCAUAUUUGUCCAGUGUAAGAGGACACAGCAUCUUCCUAGGAAUGCAACAAGCUACACAACUUUAUGUGAGCUGAGGGACACAGAAAGGUCAAUAAUGGUUGUGAAAGCUCCUGUGGUAGGAAUGACCAGGACCUUAUCAGCUGAGAUAAAAAGGUAGUAUUUACAUAAACAUAUACUGUCAAGAAUGUCAUAAUACUUUGUGUUCUGUGGCUGUGGUCAGGCAGGGUGGAAAUUGGCUGUGUGAGUCCAAUACCUUUAAGCUCACAUCUGCUUUGUUUUUCUUUUUCUUUUCCUUCCCUUACAAAGAAAGGAACUUUGUAAAGUAUCACUCCAAAGUGUAAUCAGAUUUUGCCUUCAAAAAAUCUGUAGCCAAGGAUGAAAAUUUUGAUCAGGCAAUAGAAAUCUAAGUGAAGGGAAUUGCAUUUUUGAGGUGAAAGGAGGAACUGUAAAGGUUUGGAUAACGUUUAAGCCCUGUCACUGUAGCUUUUGUAGGAUUUGAAAACCCAAAUCUGAAGGCCUGCAGAGCAGUGGACCAGUGAGCCAAGCAGCAUCCUGUAUCCCUUCUCAUUUUAGCACUGGGUGCUGCUGCUGUGGAUUUGCCUCACAAUGGCUGAGGGGCAAAACCACAGCAUUCUUUUCAAGGGCCUCUGGGGACAGGGUAAUAUCUCUUAUUCUCCUUACCAGCCCAAAUCAGUGCUGUCCCCAACACCCAUGGUCAUUGGUACGUACACAGGAGUGAAGGGGUGAGAGAGGGAGGCAAAGAGGAUGGGAACACCUUUGGGCAGACCAGGCAUAAGGAGACAGAAAAUUUGUGUAUCAUACAGGCAGCCUGGAGGCAAAAGCCAGCUCAGCAUGGAGAUCAGGGUAUAUAUAUUCUGUUAAGGAAAAGGCUCUCUUUGGGGGGAUGCCCAAAACAGAACACUCUGUAAUUCCUGCUGGCAACAAAGCAAACUCUCAAGGUCAUAUGGUCUUAACAUUGUCUUUCCUGUGGGCUCUAUCUUCUAGGUGGCCAUGCAUAAUCUUAACUUUAUCAUUUGUGCCCCCAAAUCUUGGGAAGGCUUUUGGGUUGAUUUUCUUCUGCCCCAAGAUCUUUCAGCAACAUAAAUGACUGUGUCAGAGGCUACAAUUCCUUCUGUCUUGUCACAGAACAAUUUUUAAAACAAGAGAGCUGCAGUUUGUAGAUGACUAAUACUCAUCCCUCAAGGACCACAAUCAAAUAGCCCAGUUUCCCCAAACUGCCUUUCACACAUGGACCAAUCUUGGAUUAUCUUGGCUUCAAGCAGCCUUCUUACUGUCUUGUCACAGCAGUGGGGACAAUGACACAGCUCCCAGCCAAACCCACUGGGAGCAGGUAGUACACAUGCUCUUGUGGAAUUCACAAAUCCCUCUGUAUGUGAUGUACUAUGGGGAGCUGGGGAGGUCCUUGAUUAGAAAGAAGCGUAGUGAAAUAGUCUAAAUGAACUAAGAUGGAAUAACUCAAGCUGGUAUUCAAGUUUCUUUUGAUAUUCCUGGUGUAAAAUGGAGACAUUUUGCUGCUAACCACAGAAAAAUAACCUGCUUCAGAGUGGUGUUCUCAGGGAGCUUUAGAAAUUAGUUUUCAAGGACAGCUCCUUACUGGGCAGUUUUUGGGGAAAAAUCCAAACCAGUUUUACUUGACUUAAAAACUAGUUAAUACUAAAAUAAACCAAAUGGCUUCAUUCUGAUAGAAAAAUUUUUCUCUUUGAAGCUCUCUGCAAUUAAGCAUCAAAGCAGAAGGAUUUAUCCUAAAUUAUGGCCAUUUACCUAGACAUAGGGCAUGAGCAGCACUGAAGAGUUUAAUGCAGCUUGUGCUGAACCAGGUUCUAAUGGGCUUUUUUGAUACAUCCAGCUGUGAAGCCUUCUUGAAUGACAUCUGAUAUCGAGCACCUUACAGCACUCCUGCACAGCAAGGCAGCCCCAUUUUCUCAUUGUCUAGGUGACAAGAUAUCUGCAGAGAGAGCAAAUUACUUGCCCAGAAUCCUGCAGAAAAUCAGCAAAGAAGUGAGGAGAUGAUCAGCAGCCUCCUACAGACAACUAGAAUUCUUCCUGCAGCACAAACCUUUCUCUCUCAGGAGUUUUAGGUGAUGAGCAGUUCUCUGUGUAGCUUUGUGGUUUGGGAUUUCUUUUUGUAUCCUUUCUUUGCCAUUCCCGGUAAAUAAAUCCUGAAAACAGUACUUUGCUUUUCACUUAAUUAACAUGUUUUUUCCCCAACCAAAUAAGUGUUUUUCAGGAAGUCUUCUGCCUUGUUGGAACCUUGUAGCGUGCUGAUGUGCACUUUUGAGAUCGUUGCUGGAGAAAGCCUUCCUGAAUUUGUGGGAAAACCUUGUCCACUGAAAAAACCCAAGGGUGUGCUCCCUAAAUCCUGACAGAACUGGAGCCACUAAAAGUGAAAAACAGACAUCAGUGCUUGGAAUCUCCCUGGUAAAGAAAGUGCAAAGCUUCACUUAGAAGUUCAAUGAGAAGGAGUCAAAGUGGGAUGUUAAGUAUGAAUGAUGAUUUACCUGAUGAUGGACUGGCCCACACUGUGAAAAUGAAGGGUGUUCAACCCAGUUACUUAAAAGGCUGCAGUGUUAAGACUGGAAGUCUAGUGCAGAACACUCUGCUCUUCAUUGAUCGUAAGUGGUGGAAAGUAAACAUCUUUGCACAGUGGGUGGAUCACAUGUGAGACAGCAAGGUUUGACCUACAAAAUGCAUAAAGCAAAAACAUAAAACCCCUGAGCUUGGGCUGACAAAAUUGGAAUCCACAGUCUCGUAAAGCUAGUGUGACAGGCAAGCAGAGGAGCAUGAAGACCUAUUUUUCAAACUGGAAGUAAAGCCCCAAGUCUGGAAUCUCUCUUGCACAGGAGCCCAUGUUAUAUCCUGCAAAGACAAUGACACCUGUUUUGAUUUAUAAUGUACUUUUCUUACCCAUCCCUUCCCAUGUCCCAGGGAUUCCAAUUCAGUUUAUCAGCAAUCUCAAGAACACCCAAGUGAAGAGGAAGGGAAAAGCCUGCCUGGAGUGUGUGUUAACUCCUGAAGGUGUCUCCCUGAAGGGGAUGAAAAAUGGAUAAGUGAUAGAGACGUCUCCUGAGUACACCAGGAGUGACCCAUGGGACUUGGACUUGAUUGCAGUCUGCUGAAGACCAGCAUCACAACAGGAGGCUGAUUCUCCAAUUAUUGAAGAACCUGUCCUCAAGAUUUUUGCUACACACAGUGUCACUGUGAAGAACCAAGCACACUGCAAGCAUCGAGGUCCCCUUGGCAAAACCAAGGCUCGAAGUCACAUCAAGGACAGUAUGGAGGAGACAGAGGAAGAAAACAUGGUGUUGGAGAAAGCCAGUUUGGCAUCCUGAAAUGGGACCAGCUCUGUAUUCACAUCUGCAAGCUGUGGACUCUGCUGCUGUCACACAGCCUUCAGAACUGCUGAAGGUGGUGGAUUUUUCAACUCCAGCUUCGGCUUAGCCUGGCAGCGAACCAGACCAUGGAGAUGCUCUGUCAGGAUACACAUUAAAGACAUGAGUUGAAGACACCAAAAAGCAGAAAAAAAUGCACUAAGAUCCCUAUCUCUAGUACCACUCACAGACAAAUAUUACUUCUAAAUCUAAGCCAAGAGUGAAGCUGGUAUGGGAGAAGCAGCAUUGUUAGAGGAAGGAAUUUAGCAAUGUCACCUUCAGGUAAGACCUGCAGUAUCUAUCUAGCUGGAACUCCUAUCUGUAAGUUGUUAGUUUCUUUUGUUUUUAAUAUAUACUACAUUUUGUAAAGCUUUAUCAGAUUAAUCUUCCACCAAAAAAAAAAAAAAAAAA